CGAGUGGCGGACGGGUGAGUAAUGUCUGGGAAACUGCCCGAUGGAGGGGGAUAACUACUGGAAACGGUAGCUAAUACCGCAUAACGUCGCAAGACCAAAGAGGGGGACCUUCGGGCCUCUUGCCAUCGGAUGUGCCCAGAUGGGAUUAGCUAGUAGGUGGGGUAACGGCUCACCUAGGCGACGAUCCCUAGCUGGUCUGAGAGGAUGACCAGCCACACUGGAACUGAGACACGGUCCAGACUCCUACGGGAGGCAGCAGUGGGGAAUAUUGCACAAUGGGCGCAAGCCUGAUGCAGCCAUGCCGCGUGUAUGAAGAAGGCCUUCGGGUUGUAAAGU
RNAcentral lists this ribosomal RNA (336 nucleotides) under Citrobacter freundii. RNAcentral's name for it is "bacterial SSU rRNA". It matches the Rfam family "Bacterial small subunit ribosomal RNA", at positions 92 to 431 of the family's 1533-position model. The record is from RNAcentral. Lineage: Bacteria; Pseudomonadati; Pseudomonadota; Gammaproteobacteria; Enterobacterales; Enterobacteriaceae.